UGUGUAGGUGGUUGGGUAAGUUAGAUGUGAAAUCCCCGGGCUUAACCUGGGAACUGCGUUUAAAACUGCUCAGCUAGAGUAUUGCAGAGGGUAGUGGAAUUUCAAGUGUAGCGGUGAAAUGCGUAGAUAUUGGAAGGAACACCAGUGGCGAAGGCGACUACCUGGGCAAAUACUGACACUGAGACACGAAAGCAUGGGGAGCAAACA
RNAcentral lists this ribosomal RNA (207 nucleotides) under uncultured bacterium. RNAcentral describes it as "partial 16S ribosomal RNA". It matches the Rfam family "Bacterial small subunit ribosomal RNA", at positions 568 to 774 of the family's 1533-position model. The record is from RNAcentral.